AUUGAACGCUGGCGGCAUGCUUUACACAUGCAAGUCGAACGGUAACAGGCCGCAAGGUGCUGACGAGUGGCGCACGGGUGCGUAAUGCAUCGGAACGUGCCCCGUCGUGGGGGCUAACUACUCGAAAGAGUAGCUAAUACCGCAUACGAUCUAUGGAUGAAAGCGGGGGACCGUAAGGCCUCGCGCGAUUGGAGCGGCCGAUGUCAGAUUAGGUAGUUGGUGGGGUAAAGGCUCACCAAGCCAACGAUCUGUAGCUGGUCUGAGAGGACGACCAGCCACACUGGGACUGAGACACGGCCCAGACUCCUACGGGAGGCAGCAGUAGGGAAUGUUGGACAAUGGGCGCAAGCCUGAUCCAGCAAUGCCACGUGCAGGAAGAAGGCCUUCGGGUUGUAAACUGCUUUUGUACGGAACGAAACGGCUCUGGUUAAUACCCGGGGCUAAUGACGGUACCGUAAGAAUAAGCACCGGCUAACUACGUG
RNAcentral lists this ribosomal RNA (482 nucleotides) under uncultured bacterium. Its description in RNAcentral is "partial 16S ribosomal RNA". It matches the Rfam family "Bacterial small subunit ribosomal RNA", at positions 30 to 507 of the family's 1533-position model. The record is from RNAcentral.